Molecule: transfer RNA, 91 nt
Organism: Serendipita vermifera MAFF 305830
Lineage: Eukaryota; Fungi; Basidiomycota; Agaricomycetes; Sebacinales; Serendipitaceae
Rfam family: tRNA
About the family: Transfer RNA (tRNA) molecules are approximately 80 nucleotides in length.
Source: Rfam
GCUGCGAUGGCCGAGUGGUUAAGGCGUCAGAUUCGAAUUAAGUAGUAUCUGAUGGGGUCUCCCCGCGUAGGUUCAAAUCCUGCUCGCAGCG